Prionailurus viverrinus (fishing cat) is the source of this 1662-nucleotide long non-coding RNA. RefSeq lists it as uncharacterized. The transcript is spliced from 3 exons. Lineage: Eukaryota; Metazoa; Chordata; Mammalia; Carnivora; Felidae. The record is from RefSeq and is a predicted model, not a curated record.
GCGAGCGCGGGGUCCCGGGGCCCCCAGCAAGGAAGAACUGAGGAAAAAGGGGGGAAAAACACUCUCGAGUGCCUUCGCGAGCCUUGGCCGGCGUGUCCAGGCGCCCCGAGGACCCAGCCGAGGACGCAGGCGUCGCGGGCUGAAGAGAAGCUGGGAGCCUCCCCGGGGCGCCUUCUGGGCUUCCGGCGCGGCGCGAGGCCUCGCUCAGCGGCCACCGCCGCCCCUGUGGGGAGGGACCCCCGCCCCCCAAGUGAGGACAGUGAGGAGGAGCUCCAGGAGGAACUCGAACCCAAGGCUGCCGUCGAGAGACCCCUCCUCCCCCGCGGGCCUCGUGGGCUUCCCGGUGCGGGCCGCCGCGCCCGCGUCACCCGAAGGCGGGAAGGAGACGCACGACGGUCGCCCCCGUGCACGUCCACCCCCCCCCCCCCCCGCGGUCCCCACUCCCACCCGCCGCCUGCGGAAGACUUUUCAGGUCCGCGGGCACCGGAAACGCGCGCCGGAUGCCGACUGCGCGGAGGGGGCGCCCGCACACCCUCGCGCGCGCGCGGCCCCCACCGGGGGGCCCGGCGCGGGGGCCGGAGUCACGAGGCCGCCCGCAGAGACGUCGCGUGCGGGCCUGGCGACAGCCCAGCAGGUGGUGUGACUUUACUCAGCGAGGCCUGGGCUCCUUGGCUUCGUCGGAGCGCGGUCACGGAGAUGGCACCGCGUAGUAUACCGGGGCCCCACCCUUGCGAGCCGGCUGCCCGUAUAUCCACUUUCCCAAUUUGAUGCCGCUGUCCGCUCGUUCUUGGAGAGCACAGCUUUGGACAGAAACCCCAAAAGGCAGGAGCAAAUUUGUUUGAAAAUCUUGGCUGUGGCGUGCAAACAAGUUCAGAGGGAUUUUUGAGGCACAGCUACAGACUGAGCUGGUUUACUGCACAUUAUAAAUGGAAACUUUUUUUUUUCCUCCGUGUUUUUAAGAAAUCCUGUUGCAAGGUCAUUAAUCACAUUAUCCAUUAUACCAGAAACAAAUGGAUUUGUCACUUGUGCACAGAAGCUGAGGUUGAUGCUGAAAACAAAUUGUAUCAAAAUAAAUGAAAUUAUUAUGAUAAUAUAAAACAGACCGCAGUGAUUAAUCUCCAGAAACCAAAUUUUGACCUGCUUUGCACUUCAAACAAUAGCUUCUGUUAUGUAAAUAGUCGUGGGGUUUUCAAGGACAAUGUUACUAAAUUACGAGGAAAGUUCUAUUCGUGGAAAUCUCUUCAUGGAUAAACAUUAGAGCCAGCAAAUCUGUUCUCCACAACACCCAAAGCAGAGGACAAUGGAAGUGAUGAUGGCUCAGGAAUCACUUUGACUUCCUGACUGCUUAGUUGGCUUUCUUUGAGAUUCCCUCCAGAUCUCUGGCCUUCCCGCUCACGCCCCGGGUUCCUGCAUCCAGAAUGGCACCAAGCUCUUCUGUAAAGCUUUGGAACCACCUUAAUAUUUCACACAGAAAGAAAGAAUUUAAAAAGGAAGAAAACAAGGAAGGAAGGAAGAAAAUCCGCAAGGAUGGGGGAGGAAUUUCAAAACUGAACACAAACAAAAACAAACUGAACCAUAAUUCAAAUGAAUAACGUGACCACACUGAAAUGGAGGAAAAAGAACUAACCCAAUUAACAUUUGAACACAGUAUUUGGACUCAAU